RNAcentral lists this ribosomal RNA (891 nucleotides) under human gut metagenome. RNAcentral describes it as "bacterial SSU rRNA". It matches the Rfam family "Bacterial small subunit ribosomal RNA", at positions 27 to 910 of the family's 1533-position model. The record is from RNAcentral.
GGAUGAACGCUAGCUACAGGCUUAACACAUGCAAGUCGAGGGGCAGCAUGGUCUUAGCUUGCUAAGGCCGAUGGCGACCGGCGCACGGGUGAGUAACACGUAUCCAACCUGCCGUCUACUCUUGGACAGCCUUCUGAAAGGAAGAUUAAUACAAGAUGGCAUCAUGAGUUCACAUGUUCACAUGAUUAAAGGUUUUCCGGUAGACGAUGGGGAUGCGUUCCAUUAGAUAGUAGGCGGGGUAACGGCCCACCUAGUCUUCGAUGGAUAGGGGUUCUGAGAGGAAGGUCCCCCACAUUGGAACUGAGACACGGUCCAAACUCCUACGGGAGGCAGCAGUGAGGAAUAUUGGUCAAUGGGCGAGAGCCUGAACCAGCCAAGUAGCGUGAAGGAUGACUGCCCUAUGGGUUGUAAACUUCUUUUAUAAAGGAAUAAAGUCGGGUAUGGAUACCCGUUUGCAUGUACUUUAUGAAUAAGGAUCGGCUAACUCCGUGCCAGCAGCCGCGGUAAUACGGAGGAUCCGAGCGUUAUCCGGAUUUAUUGGGUUUAAAGGGAGCGUAGAUGGAUGUUUAAGUCAGUUGUGAAAGUUUGCGGCUCAACCGUAAAAUUGCAGUUGAUACUGGAUAUCUUGAGUGCAGUUGAGGCAGGCGGAAUUCGUGGUGUAGCGGUGAAAUGCUUAGAUAUCACGAAGAACUCCGAUUGCGAAGGCAGCCUGCUAAGCUGCAACUGACAUUGAGGCUCGAAAGUGUGGGUAUCAAACAGGAUUAGAUACCCUGGUAGUCCACACGGUAAACGAUGAAUACUCGCUGUUUGCGAUAUACAGCAAGCGGCCAAGCGAAAGCGUUAAGUAUUCCACCUGGGGAGUACGCCGGCAACGGUGAAACUCAAAGGAAU